AGUUGGCGAGAAGUACGCGGAAUGCGCGGUGUAGCGGUGAAAUGCAUAGAUAUCGCGCAGAACUCCGAUUGCGAAGGCAGCGUACCGGCGCCAGACUGACGCUGAGGCACGAAAGCGUGGGGAUCGAACAGGAUUAGAUACCCUGGUAGUCCACGCAGUAAACGAUGAAUGCUGGUUGUCCGGGUCGAAUGAGAUCUGGGCGGCGAAGCGAAAGCGAUAAGCAUUCCACCUGGGGAGUACGCCGGCAACGGUGAAACUCAAAGGAAUUGACGGGGGCCCGCACAAGCGGAGGAACAUGUGGUUUAAUUCGAUGAUACGCGAGGAACCUUACCCGGGCUCAAACGGGAGUGGAAUGGAUCGGAGACGGUUCAGCCUACGGGCCGCUUCCGAGGUGCUGCAUGGUUGUCGUCAGCUCGUGCCGUGAGGUGUCGGCUUAAGUGCCAUAACGAGCGCAACCCCCGCCGGCAGUUGCUAACGGGCAAUGCCGAGGACUCUGCCGGGACUGCCGCCGCAAGGCGUGAGGAAGGCGGGGAUGACGUCAAAUCAGCACGGCCCUUACGUCCGGGGCGACACACGUGUUACAAUGGGCGGUACAGCGGGAAGCCAGGCGGCGACGCCGAGCGGAACCCGAAAGCCGUUCUCAGUUCGGAUCGGAGUCUGCAACCCGACUCCGUGAAGCUGGAUUCGCUAGUAAUCGCGCAUCAGCCAUGGCGCGGUGAAUACGUUCCCGGGCCUUGCACACACCGCCCGUCAAG
This 755-nucleotide ribosomal RNA is filed under the name uncultured bacterium. Its description in RNAcentral is "bacterial SSU rRNA". It matches the Rfam family "Bacterial small subunit ribosomal RNA", at positions 645 to 1401 of the family's 1533-position model. The record is from RNAcentral.